RNAcentral lists this ribosomal RNA (341 nucleotides) under Ostrea stentina. RNAcentral describes it as "partial 16S ribosomal RNA". It matches the Rfam family "Bacterial large subunit ribosomal RNA", at positions 1970 to 2587 of the family's 2925-position model. The record is from RNAcentral. Lineage: Eukaryota; Metazoa; Mollusca; Bivalvia; Ostreida; Ostreidae.
UGCCUUUUAAUUGUAGGCCUGCAUGAAUGGCUCGACGAGGGUUUAACUGUCUCUGAUUUGUGAGUCCUAAAUUGGAUUAAAGGUGAAGAUACCUUUAUAUAAAAGUUAGACAAGAAGACCCCGUGCAACUUUUAAAGUCGGUUUAUUAAGAAAUUUAAGAUUUUUAGGGGGGGCGCCUACUGAGUAAUAUUAACCUCUGUGUAUAAUAAAUACUUUCAGUUUAGACCCGACAUUGUCGAUCAUAGGAGAAGUUACGCCGGGGAUACAGGCUAAUCCGCUAGUAGAGAACGUAUUGGCUAGUGGGAUUGGCACCUCGAUGUUGAAUCAGGGAUGAUACCUUU